Molecule: ribosomal RNA, 360 nt
Filed under: uncultured Rickettsia sp.
Lineage: Bacteria; Pseudomonadati; Pseudomonadota; Alphaproteobacteria; Rickettsiales; Rickettsiaceae
Description: bacterial SSU rRNA
Rfam family: Bacterial small subunit ribosomal RNA
Source: RNAcentral
AACGCUAUCGGUAUGCUUAACACAUGCAAGUCGAACGGAUUAAUUAGAGCUUGCUCUAGUUAAUUAGUGGCAGACGGGUGAGUAACACGUGGGAAUCUACCCAUCAGUACGGAAUAACUUUUAGAAAUAAAAGCUAAUACCGUAUAUUCUCUACGGAGGAAAGAUUUAUCGCUGAUGGAUGGGCCCGCGUCAGAUUAGGUAGUUGGUGUGGUAAUGGCUCACCAAGCCGACGAUCUGUAGCUGGUCUGAGAGGAUGAUCAGCCACACUGGGACUGAGACACGGCCCAGACUCCUACGGGAGGCAGCAGUGGGGAAUAUUGGACAAUGGGCGAAAGCCUGAUCCAGCAAUACCGAGUGAGU